CCUCGAACCCAGGUCCAGCGACUGUCAACCCAUCACCUAUAGGCUAAUAUCAGGUCACUACAAAUCUCAACAAUGUUGUUAUUGUUGUUGUCUUAAUAUCUAACAGAAUCAGUAAAUUCUGCAUGAAUUAUAUUUCACCAGAAAUGACGUGAAAGCAAAUGGCAUAAGAGUGGAAAUCCCCACUACUCCCAGAUAAAGAGCAGCCAGACUCAUUUCCUAUAAACUAUCAGCGAGUAAUUCAUGCUUCGCUGAACUGAACCAAGAAGCCUACAUCGAUUUGCACACGAUUGGCCAACAGUUUCGAUAAAUCACACCAAAUGCAGUUGGCGCUGCCCCUGCCCAGCAGCCUGGCACUGGACUUGAUCGGUAAUGACAGCCUGCAGGACUGGGAAGUGAUUGGUGGAGGGGGAUUUGGACAGAUCCACAAGGCCAGGCAUAUAAAGUGGAGGUUUGAUGUGGCCAUCAAGUUGUUGCAUCAUGAUGAUGGGACUUUAAAUGGCCCCACAAACCGUGGACCCAGCUUCCGGCAGGGCAGGCGGAGGGGCAGGUUUCGG
Molecule: long non-coding RNA, 554 nt
Filed under: Salmo salar (Atlantic salmon)
Lineage: Eukaryota; Metazoa; Chordata; Actinopteri; Salmoniformes; Salmonidae
Description: lncRNA (ENSSSAG00000096982.1)
Source: RNAcentral